UCUCGAGUGCAGAUCAGAGAAGGGUCUGGUUUGUAACAUGAGAAGUCGAGGAGGAAGACACGGCGAGGACGAGUGGUGAAAUAAGCGGUGGAGAGAGCGAUUAAAAGUGCAGUGGCGAGGGUGGCGGAGAGGAAAUGGAAACGGAGGUGGUUGUAGAGGAUAGUUAGGUCGUUGAGGGAGAAAGAGGAGAGGUUGGCGAUUGUGGCGGCGAGGAGAGGGAGGAGGAGGAUGUAGAGAGCGUUGGAGAUUAGGUAAUGGUAACCGAGUUUGACGUAUUUGAGACGAACGGAUAAGAGAAAGUUCGGGAGGUUGUUUGGGUUUUGGUCGGCGUUUGUGACAUGGACCGGGACAGGACGGUGAGGUUGGUCUUGG
RNAcentral lists this long non-coding RNA (372 nucleotides) under Brassica napus (rape). Its description in RNAcentral is "long non-coding RNA (BNAP_LNC007281)". Lineage: Eukaryota; Viridiplantae; Streptophyta; Magnoliopsida; Brassicales; Brassicaceae. The record is from RNAcentral.